RNAcentral lists this ribosomal RNA (429 nucleotides) under Pseudomonadota bacterium. RNAcentral describes it as "Proteobacteria bacterium partial 16S ribosomal RNA". It matches the Rfam family "Bacterial small subunit ribosomal RNA", at positions 355 to 776 of the family's 1533-position model. The record is from RNAcentral. Lineage: Bacteria; Pseudomonadati; Pseudomonadota.
UGGGGAAUAUUGGACAAUGGGCGAAAGCCCGAUCCAGCCAUGCCGCGUGUGUGAAGAAGGUCUUCGGAUUGUAAAGCACUUUAAGUUGGGAGGAAGGGCAGUAAGCGAAUACCUUGCUGUUUUGACGUUACCGACAGAAUAAGCACCGGCUAACUCUGUGCCAGCAGCCGCGGUAAUACAGAGGGUGCAAGCGUUAAUCGGAAUUACUGGGCGUAAAGCGCGCGUAGGUGGUUCGUUAAGUUGAAUGUGAAAGCCCCGGGCUCAACCUGGGAACUGCAUCCAAAACUGGCGAGCUAGAGUAGGGCAGAGGGUGGUGGAAUUUCCUGUGUAGCGGUGAAAUGCGUAGAUAUAGGAAGGAACACCAGUGGCGAAGGCGACCACCUGGGCUCAUACUGACACUGAGGUGCGAAAGCGUGGGGAGCAAACAGG